RNAcentral lists this ribosomal RNA (254 nucleotides) under uncultured bacterium. Its description in RNAcentral is "partial 16S ribosomal RNA". It matches the Rfam family "Bacterial small subunit ribosomal RNA", at positions 524 to 776 of the family's 1533-position model. The record is from RNAcentral.
GACGAACCGUGCGAACGUUAUUCGGAAUCACUGGGCUUAAAGCGCGUGUAGGCGGCCCGGCACGUCAUCGGCUGAAAUCCCCCGGCUCAACCGGGGAAGGGGCCGUGAUACGACCGGGCUGGAGGGGGGUAGGGGGGACGGGAACUCACGGUGGAGCGGUGAAAUGCGUUGAGAUCGUGAGGAACGCCCGUGGCGAAAGCGGGUCUCUGGACAGUUCCUGACACUGAGGCACGAAGGCCAGGGGAGCAAACGGG